This 368-nucleotide ribosomal RNA is filed under the name Eimeria brunetti. Its description in RNAcentral is "bacterial LSU rRNA". It matches the Rfam family "Bacterial large subunit ribosomal RNA", at positions 1314 to 1756 of the family's 2925-position model. The record is from RNAcentral. Lineage: Eukaryota; Apicomplexa; Conoidasida; Eucoccidiorida; Eimeriidae.
AAAUAUUAGUAAAAUCUAAUACUCCGAAAGCUAAAAGGUUUUCUAUGAAAGGAUAUACCACGUAGGUAAAGUCGGGGGCUAAGACUAGAUUUAAUAUGUAGUCGAUGAAUAAAAGGGUUAAAUUUCCUUUACCAUAAUAUAUAAUUUAAACAAAUAGUGACCUAUAAUUUUUUAUAUAUUUAAUUUAUAUAUAGUUUAUAAUAUACUAAAGAAAUAUAGCUAGAAAAAUGUAUAUGUUAUAUAUAUAUUAUGCCUGUACCAAAACUGACACAAGUAAGCAAGUAUAACUAUACUAAGGAGUACGAAAUAACUUUCUCUAAGGAACUCGGCAAAAUAAUCCUGUAACUUCGGGAGAAAGGAUGCCCAAA